AGCUCACGUAAGAGUUUGAUCAUGGCUCAGGAUGAACGCUAGCGGCAGGCCUAAUACAUGCAAGUCGAGGGGCAGCACGGCAGCAAUGCUGGUGGCGACCGGCGGACGGGUGCGUAACGCGUAUGGAACUUGUCCGGAUCUCUGGAAUAGCCCCGAACGGGAAGUUAAUGCCGGAUGGCGCGCUGGUGUGGCAUCACACUUUCGCUAAAGCUCAGGCGGAUCCGGGUGGCCAUGCGUUCGAUUAGCUAGUUGGCGGGGUAACGGCCCACCAAGGCGACGAUCGAUAGGGGUCCUGAGAGGGAGGUCCCCCACACUGGUAC
RNAcentral lists this ribosomal RNA (320 nucleotides) under uncultured Cytophagales bacterium. Its description in RNAcentral is "bacterial SSU rRNA". It matches the Rfam family "Bacterial small subunit ribosomal RNA", at positions 1 to 319 of the family's 1533-position model. The record is from RNAcentral. Lineage: Bacteria; Pseudomonadati; Bacteroidota; Sphingobacteriia; Sphingobacteriales.